This 472-nucleotide unclassified non-coding RNA is filed under the name Hevea brasiliensis (rubber tree). Lineage: Eukaryota; Viridiplantae; Streptophyta; Magnoliopsida; Malpighiales; Euphorbiaceae. The record is from RNAcentral.
AUAAAAUAAAAUAAAAAAUAAAAAUUGUGACAAUAUAAAACCUGUCUUCAAUUGAUUAAUUUUUUUCCUUCUAAAGUCUAUUAUUACAGUUAGCACCAGGAGAAUAUUAUGAAAAGUAGGUCCAUACCCCAAAUUCAUGGGUAUAGACAUAGCUAACAUAAAGUAAUGGUAACAGAGUGUCCAAAAGUUAAUAGCAUAGAAUAAAAACAUCCAGAAGACCUAUUAAUUAUUUUGUUGUUAUUAAGCAUAAGCAUGAGUUAGAAGAAAAUGCAAUAAUUACCUUCUCUUCCACCUUGUAGAACGAAAAGGUAUCACCCAGACUUAAACAAAAGCAAAAAAAGGCUCCAUGUACAUAAGAAACAUAAUCCAUAAAAAAGAAAAUGUUAAGUUGAAUCCAGCUUAACAAUUCAGUUUAAUUCAAAAUGUCAACAGACCUGAACUAUGAAUAGUCAAAUUCAACAUUCAACUUCCA